RNAcentral lists this ribosomal RNA (586 nucleotides) under uncultured bacterium. Its description in RNAcentral is "partial 16S ribosomal RNA". It matches the Rfam family "Bacterial small subunit ribosomal RNA", at positions 355 to 1375 of the family's 1533-position model. The record is from RNAcentral.
UGGGGAAUUUUGGACAAUGGGCGAAAGCCUGAUCCAGCAAUGCCGCGUGUGUGAAGAAGGCCUUCGGGUUGUAAAGCACUUUUGUCCGGAAAGAAAUCCUUGGCUCUAAUACAGUCGGGGGAUGACGGUACCGGAAGAAUAAGCACCGGCUAACUACGUGCCAGCAGCCGCGGUAGUACGUAGGGUGCAAGCGUUAAUCGGAAUUACUGGGCGUAAAGCGUGCGCAGGCGGUUUGCUAAGACCGAUGUGAAAUCCCCGGGCUCAACCUGGGAACUGCAUUGGUGACUGGCAGGCUAGAGUAUGGCAGAGGGGGGUAGAAUUCCACGUGUAGCAGUGAAAUGCGUAGAGAUGUGGAGGAAUACCGAUGGCGAAGGCAGCCCCCUGGGCCAAUACUGACGCUCAUGCACGAAAGCGUGGGGGAGCAAACAGGAUUAGAUACCCUGGUAGUCCACGCCCUAAACGAUGUCAACUAGUUGUUGGGGAUUCAUUUCCUUAGUAACGUAGCUAACGCGUGAAGUUGACCGCCUGGGGAGUACGGUCGCAAGAUUAAAACUCAAAUGAAUUGACGGGGUCAUAGCUGUUUCCU